Eubacterium limosum KIST612 is the source of this 347-nucleotide non-coding RNA. It matches the Rfam family "Bacterial RNase P class A". From Rfam's summary of the family: Ribonuclease P (RNase P) is a ubiquitous endoribonuclease, found in archaea, bacteria and eukarya as well as chloroplasts and mitochondria. Its best characterised activity is the generation of mature 5'-ends of tRNAs by cleaving the 5'-leader elements of precursor-tRNAs. The record is from Rfam. Lineage: Bacteria; Bacillati; Bacillota; Clostridia; Eubacteriales; Eubacteriaceae.
CUACUAAGCCAGAUAAUCGCGGGCAGCGCAGGCUGUCUGAGGAAAGUCCGAGCUCCGCAGAGCAGGGUGCCGGGUAACGCCCGGUGGAGGUGACUCCAAGGCAAGUGCAACAGAAAGUAAACCGCCGGCCUGGCCGGUAAGGAUGAAAGGGUGAGGUAAGAGCUCACCAGUGGCGAGAGUAAUCCGUCAGCUAUGUAAACCCCACCUGGUGCAAGACCAAGAACGGAUGUAAAAAAGGCGGCUGCUCGUCGCCGUCCAAAUGGUAGGUCGCUUGAAUCCAUUGGUAACAAUGAAUCUAGACAGAUGAUUAUCUAAGACAGAACUCGGCUUACAGACUUAGUAACAUG